UACGGGGGGGGCAAGCGUUGUUCGGAAUUACUGGGCGUAAAGGGCGCGUAGGCGGCCUACUAAGUCGGACGUGAAAUCCCUCGGCUCAACCGAGGAACUGCGUCCGAUACUGGCGAGGCUUGAAUUUGGGAGAGGGAUGUGGAAUUCCAGGUGUAGCGGUGAAAUGCGUAGAUAUCUGGAGGAACACCGGUGGCGAAGGCGGCAUCCUGGACCGAGAUUGACGCUGAGGCGCGAAAGCUAGGGUAGCAAACGGG
This 254-nucleotide ribosomal RNA is filed under the name uncultured bacterium. RNAcentral describes it as "partial 16S ribosomal RNA". It matches the Rfam family "Bacterial small subunit ribosomal RNA", at positions 524 to 776 of the family's 1533-position model. The record is from RNAcentral.